CCUACGGGGUGCUGCAGUGGGGAAUAUUGGACAAUGGGCGAAAGCCUGAUCCAGCCAUGCCGCGUGUGUGAAGAAGGCCUUCGGGUUGUAAGGCACUUUCAGUGGGGAAGAAAGCCUUGGGGCUAAUACCCUCGAGGAAGGACAUCACCCACAGAAGAAGCACCGGCUAACUCCGUGCCAGCAGCCGCGGUAAUACGGAGGGUGCGAGCGUUAAUCGGAAUUACUGGGCGUAAAGCGCGCGUAGGCGGUCUGAUAAGCCGGUUGUGAAAGCCCCGGGCUCAACCUGGGAACGGCAUCCGGAACUGUCAGGCUAGAGUGCAGGAGAGGAAGGUAGAAUUCCCGGUGUAGCGGUGAAAUGCGUAGAGAUCGGGAGGAAUACCAGCGGCGAAGGCGGCCUUCUGGACUGACACUGACGCUGAGGUGCGAAAGCGUGGGUAGCAAACAGGAUUAGAUACCCCGGUAGUC
RNAcentral lists this ribosomal RNA (465 nucleotides) under Vreelandella stevensii. RNAcentral describes it as "partial 16S ribosomal RNA". It matches the Rfam family "Bacterial small subunit ribosomal RNA", at positions 338 to 795 of the family's 1533-position model. The record is from RNAcentral. Lineage: Bacteria; Pseudomonadati; Pseudomonadota; Gammaproteobacteria; Oceanospirillales; Halomonadaceae.